CAUGUUUUCUUUUUUGUCUGUUUCCAUUCCAACAAACAAGAAGGCUGAACCUCUAGCUUUAAAGACAGACAGGAGGUCAUGUUUUCUUUGUCUGUUUCCAUUCCAACAAACAGGAAGGCUGAACCUCUAGCUUUAAAGACAGACAGGAGGUCAUGUUUUUUUGGAAGUUGCAAAGGCUUUUAAAAAAUGUUUUAAACCCAAAUACAGCAGUUUGAGUAUGAUUGAGUGUCCAUGUUGAUACGAUAAGCUUCAAAAGGAGUGCAUUGUGUUCAUGCUUAAUCAUGUUUGUUUGUUUUUAACUUGUUUCAAAAGACAUGUUAUUGUGUUGAUAUUAUUGUUUCUGUUCAAGCUUUAGCUGACGAGCCUGUAGCCCUAAGGAACAUCAGCAUUACCAGGGAAACCGCCUGCCUGCUGCUUGUGCCUUGGCCAUAGUCUGUUUGUCCCAAUAUGUUAGAGAUCACAUAUAGCACUUAAUUGGUCAACCAUUGACUUUAUUACAUUAUGAUUUCUUUACCUGUGUAACUAUUUAAAAUUACCCAACAAAUCUUGCUUAACGAACCCUGAUGAGCAGAGGAGGGGUAGUUUGAUAUGUUAUAUUGGAACCCUGGUGAGCAGAGGGGGGUAGGUCGACAUGUUAUAUUGGUACCCUGGUGAGCAGAGGGGGUGGCAGAGGAGCAUGUUAUAUUGGAACCCUGGUGAGCAGAGGGGUAGUUUGAUAUGUUAUAUUGGAACCCUGGUGAGCAGAGGAGGGGUAGUUUGAUAUGUUAUAUUGGAACCCUGGUGAGCAGAGGAGCGGUAGUUCGACAUGUUAUAUUGGAACCCUGGUGAGCAGAGGAGCGGUAGUUCGACAUGUUAUAUUGGAACCCUGGUGAGCAGAGGGGGGGUAGGUCGACAUGUCGGCAUCCUGGUUGCAUCAGUGCCUGGUAUGGCAACUGCUCGGCCUUCGACCGCAAGGCACUACAAGAGGGUGUACGGCCCAGUACAUCACUGGGACCAAGCUUCCUGCCAUCCAGGACCUCUAUACCAGGCAGUGUCAGAGGAAGGCCCUAAAAAUGGUCAAAGACUCCAGCCCCCUAGUCAUAGACUGUUCUCUCUGCUACCGCACGGCAAGCGGUACCAGAUCUCCAUGUAUAGGUCCAAAAGGCUUCUCAACAGCUUCUACCCCCAAGCCAUAAGACUCCUGAACAUCUAAUCAAAUGGCUACCCAGACUAUUUGCAUUGUCCCCCCAUCCCCUCUUUUACGCUGCUGCUGCUCUCUGUUUAUUAUCUAUGCAUAGUCACUUUAACUCUACCUACAUGUACAUAUUACCUCAAUUACCUGGACUAACCGGUGCUCCCGCACAUUGACUCUGUACCUGUAACCCCUGUAUAGAGCCUCGCUAUUGUUAUCUACUGCUGCUCUUUAAUUAUUUGUUACUUUUCUUUCUUAUUUUUUACUUAACGUAUUUUUCUUAAAACAUUGUUGGUUAAGGGCUUGUAAGUAAGUAUUUCACUGUAAGGUUGUUACCUGUUGUAUUUGGUGUAUGUGACAAAUAACAUGUGAUUUGAUUUGAUUCAACACUGACCAACUUUGAGCGACUUUAACACUGACCACUUUAACACUGACUGACUUGCAUCCAGACUCUGAUACUGGUUAGUUAGCAUGUUUCCACUGUUUGUUUUCUUUUCUCUUCCUUCUCCCUCAUCACUCUUUCUCAGGAGACUCUGUUCCCACAACACCCUUAUGUAACUGCCUGCAUUACUCUCUCUCUCUCUCUCUCGCCCCUUACCCAUCCACUAUCAGUGUCUGUGUCCUCAGAGCGCGCUCCUGGCCUAGUCUCUGAUUGGCUCUGACAAAGUAAACAUGGCUGCCAUCAGAGCCCUUGUAAGUGGAGGAAGAAGGAGGGGGAGAUAUGGAAAUCACUAGAUGGCCACGCUAGAAACGACAUCAGCUAUUUCACAUGACCUGUUGAGAUAGUACAUGAGCUAUCUGCUCUGAAUCUACAUCUAGGGUUAUGUCUAAGAUUAGGAUAUAGGUUCAUGGUUAAAGUAAGAGGUUAGACAAAACAUAGUAAAUAUAAAUCUGACACUCUUUAGUAUGAUAUGUUACGUUUGGUGUUACAUAAGAGAGAAGUUUACUUAAUGCAAAAACAAAAGUAGGGUGGAUGGAUGGACAUAUAACACUAAAGUUUAGCAACCGAAGGUUGCGUGUUUGUAUCUCAUCACAGACAACUUUAGUAUUUUAGCUAAUGAGAAACUUUGCAUCUACUUAAUACUUUUUAACAACUUUACAAUUACUUAGCGUGUCAGCUAACCCUUCCCCUAAACCAGCGGGCGGUUCCCAAACUAGGGGUUGGGAGAAUUUCCAAAAUCCAGAUGAAAAUAAAUAUACACACAGUACCAGUCAAAUGUUUGGACACCCCUACUCAUUCAAGGGUUUUUCUUUAUUUUUACUAUUUUCUAUAUUGUAGAAUAAUAGUGAAGACAUCAAAACUUUGAAAUAACACAUAUGGAAUGUAGUAACCAAAUGAGUGUUAUACAAAUAAAAAACACUUUCGAUUUUAGAUUCUUCAAAGUAGCAACCAUUUGCCUUGAUGACAGCUUUGCACAUGCUUGGCAUUCUCUCAACCUGCUUCAUGAGGAAUGUUUUUCCAACACUCUCCAAGGAGUUCCCACAUAUGCUUAGCACUUGUUGGCGGCUUUUCCUUCACUCUGCGGUCCAAGUCAUCCUCAACCAUCUCCUCCUCCAUGCUUCACGGUGGGAACCACACAUGCAGAAAUCAUCUGUUCACCUACUCUGCAUCUCACAAAGACAGCAGUUGGAACCAAAAAUAGCAACUUUGGACUGAUCAGACCAAAGGACAGAUUUCCACCAGUCUAAUGCCCAUUGGUUGUGUUUCUUGGCCCAGGCAAGUCUCUUCUUAUUAUUGGUGUCUUGAAAUGUUCUUGAAAUGUUCCGGAUUGACUGACCUUCAUGUCUUAAGUUAAUAAUGGGCUGUCGUUUCUCUUUGCUUAUUUGAGCUGUUCUUUUCAAAAUACGGACUUGGUCUUUUACCAAAUAGGGCUAUCUUCUGUAUACCACCCCUACCUUGUCACAACACAACUGAUUGGCUAAAAGGCAUUAAAACUUCUUAGGGAUAGGAGUCCCGCUUAAAUUCUUGUUACUUUAACUGCACUGUCCGAUUUACAGUAGCUAUUACAGCAAAAACAUGCCAUGUGAUUGUUUGAGGUUGGCGUCCCACAUCAAAAUAUUUUUCCACCUGCACAGGUUUCAUACAUUCACAAAUAACGAUUAAAUAUUCACUUACUUUUUGAAAAUCUUCCUCUGAUAUGUCAUCCAAAGGGUCCCAGCUAUAACAUGUAGUGUCGUUUUGUUAGAUAAAAUCCUUCUUUAUAUCCCAAAAAAUCUGUUUAGUUGGUGCCAUCGAUUUGAGUUAUCCACUCGUUCAACGUGCGGAAAAAGGAAUCCAAAAAUCUACCCCUAAACUUUGUUUCAACAAGUCAAAAUCUGUUUCUAUUGAAACCUCGGAUACCCUAAAAUGUAAUCAAACUAUCAUUUUUCUUACGGAAAGAAGUAUGCUCAAUAGGAAAUAGAUUUAGCAGGUGCGUAUUGUCUUCAUGGCACGCGCAAACACGAAUUUCCAAGACUGUGUCCUUUUGCUAAAACGGAUAUUUCUUAUUCGUUUUUGAAGUUACAAGCCUGAAACCCUGAACAUAGACUGCUGACACCCUGUGGAAGCCAUAGGAAUUACAUCCAGGGAGCUCAUUUUCAAUAUGACCUUACUGUAACGUUCUGACCUUAGUUCCUUUGUUUUGUUUUAGUAUGGUCAAGGUGUGAGUUGGGGUGGGCAGUCUAUGUUUGUUUUUCUAGGUUGAUUUUUGAGUUUGGCCUGGUAUGGUUCUCAAUCAGAGGCAGGUGUCGUAAGUUGUCUCUGAUUGAGAAUCAUACUUAGGUAGCCUUUUUCCAUCUGUGUUUUGUGGGUGUUUAUUUUCUGUUUUGUGUGUCAUCACUAGACAGGACUGUUUCGUUUGUUCGUUCUUCCUAGUUGUUAUUUUGUUUAGUGUUCAGUUUUGCUUAUAUUAAAUAUCAUGAACACUUACCACGCUGCACCUUGGUCCUCACCUUCUUCCACCGACGACGGCCGUUGCACUUACUCUUGCAUUUCUAUUCUCCUACAAUAUUUUAACAUUUCUACAAACUUCAAAGUGUUUUCUUUCAAAUGGUACUAAUCAAAUCAAAUCACAUUUAUUUAUAUAGCCCUUCGUACAUCAGCUGAUAUCAGCUAAUUAUAUGCAUAUCCUGGCUUCAGGGCCUGAGCUACAGGCAGUUUACUUUGGGCAUGACAGGAAGUGGAGGAAAAAGGGGCAUAGCCCUAAGAAAGGCAUUACGAAGGAAAGAAAUUCCACAAAUGAACUUUUAACAAGGCACACCUGUUAAUUGAAAUGCAUUCCAGGUGACUACCUCAUGAAGCUGGUUGAGAGAAUGCCAAGAGUGUGCAAAGCUAUCAUCAAGGCAAAGGGUGGCUACUUUGCAGAAUCUCAAAUAUAAAACAUAUUUUGAUUUGUUUAACACUUUUUUGGUUACUACAUGAUUCCAUAUGUGUUAUUUCAUAGUUUUG
Molecule: long non-coding RNA, 4598 nt
Organism: Oncorhynchus tshawytscha (Chinook salmon)
Lineage: Eukaryota; Metazoa; Chordata; Actinopteri; Salmoniformes; Salmonidae
Source: Ensembl